RNAcentral lists this ribosomal RNA (484 nucleotides) under uncultured bacterium. RNAcentral describes it as "partial 16S ribosomal RNA". It matches the Rfam family "Bacterial small subunit ribosomal RNA", at positions 29 to 507 of the family's 1533-position model. The record is from RNAcentral.
AGUGAACGCUGGCGGCAGGCCUAACACAUGCAAGUCGAGCGGAUGAAGGGAGCUUGCUCCUGGAUUCAGCGGCGGACGGGUGAGUAAUGCCUAGGAAUCUGCCUGGUAGUGGGGUAUAACGUCCGGAAACGGGCGCUAAUACCGCAUACGUCCUGAGGGAGAAAGUGGGGGAUCUUCGGACCUCACGCUAUCAGAUGAGCCUAGGUCGGAUUAGCUAGUUGGUGGGGUAAAGGCCUACCAAGGCGACGAUCCGUAACUGGUCUGAGAGGAUGAUCAGUCACACUGGAACUGAGACACGGUCCAGACUCCUACGGGAGGCAGCAGUGGGGAAUAUUGGACAAUGGGCGCAAGCCUGAUCCAGCCAUGCCGCGUGUGUGAAGAAGGUCUUCGGAUUGUAAAGCACUUUAAGUUGGGAGGAAGGGCAGUAAGUUAAUACCUUGCUGUUUUGACGUUACCCACAGAAUAAGCACCGGCUAACUUCGUG